AGUGACAGCGUACCUUUUGUAUAAUGGGUCAUCGACUUGGUCUAUCUAGCAAGCUUAAGCCGAUAGGUGUAGGCGCAGCGAAAGCGAGUCUGAAUAGGGCGACCGAGUAUGCAGCAUUAGACCCGAAGGCAAGUGAUCUAGGUAUGGGCAGGGUGAAGGUGCAGUAACAUGCACUGGAGGACCGAACCCACGCCUGUUGAAAAAGGCGGGGAUGACUUGUGCCUAGGGGUGAAAGGCCAAUCAAACUCGGAAAUAGCUGGUUCUCCGCGAAAUCUAUUUAGGUAGAGC
RNAcentral lists this ribosomal RNA (288 nucleotides) under Conticribra weissflogii. RNAcentral describes it as "partial Bacterial large subunit ribosomal RNA". It matches the Rfam family "Bacterial large subunit ribosomal RNA", at positions 592 to 880 of the family's 2925-position model. Lineage: Eukaryota; Bacillariophyta; Thalassiosirophyceae; Thalassiosirales; Thalassiosiraceae. The record is from RNAcentral.